UUUUUCUGCCACCGAAUACAUUAGCAUGGGAUAAUGGAAUAGGACCCUGUCCUCCUAUUUUCAGUUGGUUUUGGCAGCGCGAGGACUAGGGUAAUGAUUAAUAGGGAUAGUUGGGGGCAUUAAUAUUUAAUUGUCAGAGGUGAAAUUCUUGGAUUUAUGAAAGAUUAACUUCUGCGAAAGCAUCUGCCAAGGAUGUUUUCAUUAAUCAAGAACGAAAGUUAGGGGAUCGAAGACGAUCAGAUACCGUCGUAGUCUUAACCAUAAACGAUGCCGACCAGCGAUUAGGAGACGUUGAAUACAAAACACCACCAUCGGUGCGGUCGUCCUUGGCGUCGGUCUUUCGGGGCCGGCGCGGGGACGGCUUAGCCCGGUGGCACCGGUGAAUGACUCCC
Molecule: ribosomal RNA, 392 nt
Filed under: Acanthamoeba sp. MN-2012
Lineage: Eukaryota; Discosea; Longamoebia; Acanthamoebidae
Description: SSU rRNA
Rfam family: Eukaryotic small subunit ribosomal RNA
Source: RNAcentral